CGAGCUUCCGUUGAUGACGUGCUUGCACUGAUUUCAACAAUGAAGCGAGUGGCGAACUGGUGAGUAACACGUGGGAAAUCUGCCCAGAAGCAGGGGAUAACACUUGGAAACAGGUGCUAAUACCGUAUAACAACAAAAUCCGCAUGGAUUUUGUUUGAAAGGUGGCUUCGGCUAUCACUUCUGGAUGAUCCCGCGGCGUAUUAGUUAGUUGGUGAGGUAAAGGCCCACCAAGACGAUGAUACGUAGCCGACCUGAGAGGGUAAUCGGCCACAUUGGGACUGAGACACGGCCCAAACUCCUACGGGAGGCAGCAGUAGGGAAUCUUCCACAAUGGACGAAAGUCUGAUGGAGCAAUGCCGCGUGAGUGAAGAAGGGUUUCGGCUCGUAAAACUCUGUUGUUAAAGAAGAACACCUUUGAGAGUAACUGUUCAAGGGUUGACGGUAUUUAACCAGAAAGCCACGGCUAACUACGUGCCAGCAGCCGCGGUAAUACGUAGGUGGCAAGCGUUGUCCGGAUUUAUUGGGCGUAAAGCGAGCGCAGGCGGUUUUUUAAGUCUGAUGUGAAAGCCUUCGGCUUAACCGGAGAAGUGCAUCGGAAACUGGGAGACUUGAGUGCAGAAGAGGACAGUGGAACUCCAUGUGUAGCGGUGGAAUGCGUAGAUAUAUGGAAGAACACCAGUGGCGAAGGCGGCUGUCUAGUCUGUAACUGACGCUGAGGCUCGAAAGCAUGGGUAGCGAACAGGAUUAGAUACCCUGGUAGUCCAUGCCGUAAACGAUGAGUGCUAAGUGUUGGAGGGUUUCCGCCCUUCAGU
RNAcentral lists this ribosomal RNA (812 nucleotides) under uncultured Lactobacillus sp. RNAcentral describes it as "bacterial SSU rRNA". It matches the Rfam family "Bacterial small subunit ribosomal RNA", at positions 63 to 844 of the family's 1533-position model. Lineage: Bacteria; Bacillati; Bacillota; Bacilli; Lactobacillales; Lactobacillaceae. The record is from RNAcentral.